GAUGAACGCUGGCGGCGUGCCUAAUACAUGCAAGUCGAGCGAACAGAUAAGGAGCUUGCUCCUUUGACGUUAGCGGCGGACGGGUGAGUAACACGUGGGUAACCUACCUAUAAGACUGGAAUAACUCCGGGAAACCGGGGCUAAUGCCGGAUAACAUUUAGAACCGCAUGGUUCUAAAGUGAAAGAUGGUUUUGCUAUCACUUAUAGAUGGACCCGCGCCGUAUUAGCUAGUUGGUAAGGUAACGGCUUACCAAGGCAACGAUACGUAGCCGACCUGAGAGGGUGAACGGCUAGCCUGUAACUGAGACACGGUAGCGACUUCGAGGCGAGGAAGCAGUCGGGAAUCUUCCGCGAGGGGGGAGAGGCUGACGGAGCAACGCCGCGUGAGUGAUGAAGGUCUUCGGCUCGGAGAACGCUGUUAGUAGGGAAGUAGAAAUGUGUAUGUAACUGUGAACGUAUUGACGGUACCUGAUCAGAAAGCCACGGCUAACUACGUG
Molecule: ribosomal RNA, 497 nt
Filed under: uncultured bacterium
Lineage: Bacteria
Description: partial 16S ribosomal RNA
Rfam family: Bacterial small subunit ribosomal RNA
Source: RNAcentral